This 605-nucleotide ribosomal RNA is filed under the name Pseudomonas monteilii. RNAcentral's name for it is "bacterial SSU rRNA". It matches the Rfam family "Bacterial small subunit ribosomal RNA", at positions 142 to 742 of the family's 1533-position model. Lineage: Bacteria; Pseudomonadati; Pseudomonadota; Gammaproteobacteria; Pseudomonadales; Pseudomonadaceae. The record is from RNAcentral.
GACAACGUUUCGGAGGGAACGCUGGUACCGCAUACGUCCUAGGGGAGAAAGCAGGGGACCUUCGGGCCUUGCGCUAUCAGAUGAGGGUAGGUCGGAUUAGCUAGUUGGUGGGGUAAUGGCUCACCAAGGCGACGAUCCGUAACUGGUCUGAGAGGAUGAUCAGUCACACUGGAACUGAGACACGGUCCAGACUCCUACGGGAGGCAGCAGUGGGGAAUAUUGGACAAUGGGCGAAAGCCUGAUCCAGCCAUGCCGCGUGUGUGAAGAAGGUCUUCGGAUUGUAAAGCACUUUAAGUUGGGAGGAAGGGCAGUAAGUUAAUACCUUGCUGUUUUGACGUUACCGACAGAAUAAGCACCGGCUAACUCUGUGCCAGCAGCCGCGGUAAUACAGAGGGUGCAAGCGUUAAUCGGAAUUACUGGGCGUAAAGCGCGCGUAGGUGGUUUGUUAAGUUGGAUGUGAAAGCCCCGGGCUCAACCUGGGAACUGCAUCCAAAACUGGGCGAGCUAGAGUACGGUAGAGGGUGGUGGAAUUUCCUGUGUAGGGUGAAAUGCGUAGAUAUAGAAGGAACACCAGUGGCGAACGCGACCACCUGCACUGAGUACUG